RNAcentral lists this ribosomal RNA (251 nucleotides) under uncultured bacterium. RNAcentral's name for it is "partial 16S ribosomal RNA". It matches the Rfam family "Bacterial small subunit ribosomal RNA", at positions 524 to 774 of the family's 1533-position model. The record is from RNAcentral.
UACGUAUGGAGCAAGCGUUAUCCGGAUUUACUGGGUGUAAAGGGAGCGCAGGCGGCUUUGCAAGUCUGAUGUGAAAGGCCGGGGCUCAACCCCGGGACUGCAUUGGAAACUGUAAAGCUAGAGUGCCGGAGAGGUAAGCGGAAUUCCUAGUGUAGCGGUGAAAUGCGUAGAUAUUAGGAGGAACACCAGUGGCGAAGGCGGCUUACUGGACGGCAACUGACGCUGAGGCUCGAAAGCGUGGGGAGCAAACA